RNAcentral lists this ribosomal RNA (468 nucleotides) under uncultured bacterium. Its description in RNAcentral is "partial 16S ribosomal RNA". It matches the Rfam family "Bacterial small subunit ribosomal RNA", at positions 28 to 507 of the family's 1533-position model. The record is from RNAcentral.
GACGAACGCUGGCGGCGUGCUUAACACAUGCAAGUCGAACGGAAAGGCCCUGCUUUUGUGGGGUGCUCGAGUGGCGAACGGGUGAGUAACACGUGAGUAACCUGCCCUUUACUUUGGGAUAACUUCAGGAAACUGGGGCUAAUACCGGAUAGGAGCUCCUGCUGCAUGGUGGGGGUUGGAAAGUUUCGGCGGUUGGGGAUGGACUCGCGGCUUAUCAGCUUGUUGGUGGGGUAGUGGCUUACCAAGGCUUUGACGGGUAGCCGGCCUGAGAGGGUGACCGGGCACAUUGGGACUGAGAUACGGCCCAGACUCCUACGGGAGGCAGCAGUGGGGAAUAUUGCAAAAUGGGCGGAAGCCUGAUGCAGCAACGCCGCGUGCGGGAUGACGGCCUUCGGGUUGUAAACCGCUUUCGCCUGUGACGAAGCGUGAGUGACGGUAAUGGGUAAAGAAGCACCGGCUAACUACGUG